This 338-nucleotide unclassified non-coding RNA is filed under the name soil metagenome. RNAcentral's name for it is "partial contains 5.8S ribosomal RNA, internal transcribed spacer 2, and large subunit ribosomal RNA". The stretch from base 2 to 121 matches the Rfam family "5.8S ribosomal RNA", at positions 35 to 154 of the family's 154-position model. The record is from RNAcentral.
GGAUGAAGAACGCAGCGAAAUGCGAUAAGUAGUGUGAAUUGCAGAAUUCAGUGAAUCAUCGAAUCUUUGAACGCACAUUGCGCCCCUUGGUAUUCCAGGGGGCAUGCCUGUUCGAGCGUCAUUUGUACCCUCAAGCUCUGCUUGGUGUUGGGUGAUUGUCCGGCCUUUGCGCCUGGACUCGCCUUAAAGCAAUUGGCAGCCGGUGUUUUGGUAGUAGAGCGCAGCACAUUUUGCGCCCUGUCUCCUCAACGAAGGCGUCCAUGAAGCGCACAUCUCACGUUUGACCUCGGAUCAGGUAGGGAUAUCCGCUGAACUUAAGCAUAUCAAUAAGCGGAGGA